This 853-nucleotide ribosomal RNA is filed under the name uncultured bacterium. RNAcentral's name for it is "bacterial SSU rRNA". It matches the Rfam family "Bacterial small subunit ribosomal RNA", at positions 8 to 880 of the family's 1533-position model. The record is from RNAcentral.
AGAGUUUAUCCUGCUCAGGAUGAACGCCGGCGGCGUGCUUAAUACAUGCAAGUCGAACGGAGACUGUAGCAAUACUGUCUUAGUGGCGAACGGGUGAGUAACGCGUUGGUGACCUGCCCCGAAGAGGGGGAUAACAGUCCGAAAGGAUUGCUAAUACCCCAUGUGGUCGUUUGGAUUAGAUGCCUUACGACUAAACGGAUUUAUUCGCUUCGGGAGGGGCCUGCGUCCCAUCAGCUAGUUGGUAGGGUAAUAGCCUACCAAGGCGAUGACGGGUAGGGGACCUGAGAGGGUGGCCCCCCACAAUGGAACUGAAACACGGUCCAUACACCUACGGGUGGCAGCAGUAGGGAAUAUUGGUAAUCUGGGAAACCGGGAACCAGCAACGCCGCGUGCGCGAUGAAGGCCUUCGGGUUGUAAAGCGCUUUUUAAAGGGAUGAGGAAGGACAGUACCUUUAGAAUAAGCCUCGGCUAACUACGUGCCAGCAGCCGCGGUAAAACGUAGGAGGCGAGCGUUAUCCGGAUUUACUGGGCGUAAAGCGUGUGCAGGCGGUUUGAUAAGUUGGAUGUGAAAGCUCCUGGCUUAACCGGGAGAGGUCGUUCAAAACUAUCAGACUAGAGAGUGGUAGAGGGAGAUGGAAUUCCGCGUGUAGUGGUGAAAUGCGUAGAUAUGCGGAGGAACACCAGUGGCGAAAGCGGUCUCCUGGCCCAUUUCUGACGCUCAGACACGAAAGCUAAGGUAGCAAACGGGAUUAGAGACCCCGGUAGUCUUAGCUGUAAACGAUGUGAACUUAGUGUCGGUGGGGUUAAAUCCAUCGGUACUGAAGCUAACGCGAUAAGUUCACCGCCUGGGGAC